RNAcentral lists this ribosomal RNA (468 nucleotides) under uncultured bacterium. Its description in RNAcentral is "partial 16S ribosomal RNA". It matches the Rfam family "Bacterial small subunit ribosomal RNA", at positions 28 to 507 of the family's 1533-position model. The record is from RNAcentral.
GACGAACGCUGGCGGCGUGCUUAACACAUGCAAGUCGAACGGAAAGGCCCUGCUUUUGUGGGGUGCUCGAGUGGCGAACGGGUGAGUAACACGUGAGUAACCUGCCCUUGUCUUUGGGAUAACUUCAGGAAACUGGGGCUAAUACCGGAUAGGAGACCCCCCUGCAUGGUGGGCGUUGGAAAUUUUCGGCGGUUGGGGAUGGACUGGCGGCUUAUCAGCUUGUUGGUGGGGUAGUGGCUUACCAAGGCUUUGACGGGUAGCCGGCCUGGGUGGGUGACCGGCGACAUGGGGACUGAGAUACGGCCCAGUCUCGAACGGGAGGCAGUGGUGGGGAGUAUUGCACAGUGGGAGGAAGUCUGAUGCAGCAGCGCCGCGUGCGGAAUGACGGCCUUCGGGUUGUAAAACGCUGUCGCCUGUGACGAAGCGUGAGUGACGGUAAUGGGUAAAGAAGCACCGGCUAACUACGUG